RNAcentral lists this ribosomal RNA (253 nucleotides) under uncultured bacterium. RNAcentral's name for it is "partial 16S ribosomal RNA". It matches the Rfam family "Bacterial small subunit ribosomal RNA", at positions 524 to 776 of the family's 1533-position model. The record is from RNAcentral.
UACGAAGGGGGCUAGCGUUGCUCGGAAUGACUGGGCGUAAAGGGCGCGUAGGCGGCUUGCACAGUCAGGCGUGAAAUUCCUGGGCUCAACCUGGGGACUGCGCUUGAGACGUGUGGGCUUGAGUGGGGAAGAGGGUCGUGGAAUUCCCAGUGUAGAGGUGAAAUUCGUAGAUAUUGGGAAGAACACCAGUGGCGAAGGCGGCUCACUGGUCCGGUACUGACGCUGAGGUGCGAAAGCGUGGGGAGCAAACAGG